GUGAAUCAUCGAAUUUUUGAACGCAAAUUGCACUCUCUGGUAUUCCGGAGAGUAUGCCUGUUUGAGGGUCAGUUUAAAUAAAAAUCGGGGUGGUUGCUGACUUUCGUGGUGACGCAGCGGAUUGGGGUCGUCUUGCCUUCGGUUUAGUGACCUAAAAAUUUGCCUGAUUUUUUUCGUAUGUAUUUAAAUGAUUUUAUGUAUGUUUGCGUUAUAG
This 214-nucleotide unclassified non-coding RNA is filed under the name Glomeraceae sp. RNAcentral describes it as "partial contains 5.8S ribosomal RNA and internal transcribed spacer 2". The stretch from base 1 to 71 matches the Rfam family "5.8S ribosomal RNA", at positions 84 to 154 of the family's 154-position model. The record is from RNAcentral. Lineage: Eukaryota; Fungi; Glomeromycota; Glomeromycetes; Glomerales; Glomeraceae.